AGUAACUGCGAGUGAAGCGGCAAGAGUUCAAAUUUGAAAUCUGACGUCUCUGGCGUUCGAGUUGUAAUUUGGAGAGAUAACUUCGGCGAUAGUGCCAUCCUAAGUUCCUUUGAACAGGACAUCACAGAGGGUGAGAAUCCCGUGCCAGGAUGGUAACAUAUCGUCUUGUGAAGUGUCUUCGACGAGUCGAGUUGUUUGGGAAUGCAGCUCAAAAUGGGUGGUAAAUUUCAUCUAAAGCUAAAUAUUGGCGAGAGACCGAUAGCGCACAAGUAGAGUGAUCGAAAGAUGAAAAGCACUUUGAAAAGAGAGUCAAAAAGUACGUGAAAUUGUUGAAAGGGAAGCGCUUGAGAUCAGACUCAACCUCUGGUAAUCAGCCAUGCUUCUGCACGGUGCAUUUGCCGCUGGUUGGGCCAGCAUCGGUUCCGGCGGUGGGAUAAAAGGCUGGGGAAUGUGACUUCCUUUGGGGAGUGUUAUAGCCUCGGUCACAAUGCCACCAGCAGGGAUCGAGGACCGCGCUUCUGCUAGGAUGCUGGCGUAAUGGUCUUAAGCGACCCGUCUUGAAACACGGACCAAGGAGUCUAACAUCUAUGCGAGUGUUCGGGUGGAAAACCCCUGCGCGUAAUGAAAGUGAACGGAGGUGGCAACCCGUCAGGGUGCACCAUCGACCGAUCCUGAUGUCUUCGGAUGGAUUUGAGUAAGAGCAUAGCUGUUGGGACCCGAAAGAUGGUGAACUAUGCCUGAAUAGGGUGAAGCCAGAGGAAACUCUGGUGGAGGCUCGCAGCGGUUCUGACGUGCAAAUCGAUCGUCAAAUUUGGGUAUAGG
RNAcentral lists this ribosomal RNA (822 nucleotides) under Aurantiolachnea solsequia. Its description in RNAcentral is "partial large subunit ribosomal RNA". It matches the Rfam family "Eukaryotic large subunit ribosomal RNA", at positions 82 to 921 of the family's 3401-position model. The record is from RNAcentral. Lineage: Eukaryota; Fungi; Ascomycota; Pezizomycetes; Pezizales; Pyronemataceae.